Molecule: ribosomal RNA, 484 nt
Filed under: uncultured bacterium
Lineage: Bacteria
Description: partial 16S ribosomal RNA
Rfam family: Bacterial small subunit ribosomal RNA
Source: RNAcentral
AUUGAACGCUGGCGGCAGGCCUAACACAUGCAAGUCGAGCGGAUGAAGGGAGCUUGUUCCUGGAUUCAGCGGCGGACGGGUGUGUAAUUCCUAGGAAUCUGCCUGCUAGUGGGGGAUAACGUCUGGAAACGGGCGCUAAUACUGCAUACGUCCUGAGGGAGAAAGUGGGGGAUCUUCUGACCUCACGCUAUCAUAUGAGUCUAGGUCGGAUUAGCUAGUUUGUGGGGUAAAGGCCUACUAAGGCGACGAUCCGUAACUGGUCUGAGAGGAUGAUCAGUCACACUGGAACUGAGACACGGUCCAGACUCCUACGGGAGGCAGCAGUGGGGAAUAUUGGGCAAUGGGGGAAAGCCUGAUCCAGCCAUGCCGCGUGUGUGAAGAAGGUCUUCGGAUUGUAAAGAACUUUAAGUUGGGAGGAAGGGCAGUAGGUUAAUACCUUGCUGUUUUGACGGUAACAACAGAAUAAGCACCGGCUAAGUUCGUG